UUUUACUAUAAGCAGCAAGCUAUGAGGCAGUACCCUCAACAGUCUUGGCUAACAGUCCUUAGCCCAAUUACCUAGUUCACUAGUGACAUUCUCUAGUUUCCACAAAACCACAGCUGACAGUGUUGCUAACUACAUAAUAAGAAUAUAUAAUAAGAAUUACAUAGUAACUACAUAGUAAGAAUCUUCCUUCCUCCAGUUUCCAAUAACAUGCUCCUCAUUUACUUUUAAGUCCUCACCAGCAGUCUCUUCAAUGUCCUUCCAGCUCCUACCAAUUGCUCAGUUCCAAAACCAUUCCUAAAUUUUAAGUUUUUAUUAUGGCAGCCUCCCACUUCUAAAUACCGAAGUCUUUAUUAGUUAUCUAUUGCUUUAUAAAGAAUUACCCAACGCUUAGCAGCUUAAACUUUUUUUUUUUUCCUCCGUGCAGUUUCUGAGGGCCAGGAACCUGGGUGGUUCUGGCUUAGGGCCUUCCAUAGGUUGUAGCCAAGUUGCUGGCCAGGGCUGCAGUUAUGAUUUGACUGGGGAUGGAGGAUUCACCUCUAACAUGGCAUCUUUCAUGUGGCUGUUGGCUAGAGGCUCAGUUCCUCACUGACUAUUGUCAGGAGGCCACAGUUCCUUGUCACAAGAGACUCCAGAAGGCUACUUGGCAUAACAGCUGGCUUCCCUCAAAAGAAACUAUUCUAAAGAGAGUGACCAAGAGGGAAGUAACAAUGCCUUUUAUGAUCUAGUCUCUGUAUUCACACAUGAUCACUUCUUCUUUAUUCUAUUGGUCAUACAAACCAAUCCAGACACACAGGGACUAACAAGGAUAUGAACACCAGCAGAUGAAGAUCAUCAGUACCAUCUUGGAGGCUGGCUACCACAACAGUUAAAGAACUCCCUUUAGCAUUUCUCGUAGGACAGGUCUGGUGUUAAUGAAAUCCCUCAGCUUUUGUUUGUCUGGAAAAGUGUGUCUCCUUCAUGUUUAAAGGAUAUUUUAGCUGGAUAUACUACUCUAAGCAACCCAGUGAUUCCAUGGAAAGCAGAAAGAAGGACAUAAAGAAACGGAUACUUGGUGACAUCUUUGACUCACUGGAUCAAACCUUGCCUGAAGCUCACAUUUCUGAAAUUUCCAGAUACAAGAACAAAUACUUCCUCUUUAUUGUUUUACUAGAUUUGAGACAAGCUUUAAGUUUCUCAGACUCUUCCUCUUCCUAACAGAUUUAUCAGAAGCUGAAAGCUCUGAUCUUGUUGGGAUGCGGAUCGUGUCAGGAGAAGGCUUACUUUGCACGCUUUUCUUAGUCUGGUUGCCUAACUCAAGAACCUCGGCAUGGCUCUGUUACUUCUCUACUCAGACAAGCAUCCCUGCAGACACUCACUAGGCUAACUCUGUCUUUAUUUUUAGAAUUAGACCUUUACGAGAAGCACAGUUUUGUCUUCAGUUUCCUCUCCCCCCACCCGGAAUGGCCUGAGCCGAAGCCAGCUCCCUCCGAGAAGUCAUUACCGCCUGACUUGCGUUUGAUAUUUAGACACCUUGGUCACAACAUCUUGCAUUCUCUCGGGAUGCUGAUUUCUAACUGCUCUUUGGCCUUUCCUGCAUUGGUCCUCCUCAGGCAGGGGAUCCCUGCUCUUCUAUAUUAGUGAGAAAACCAAGGCUCAGAGAAACUGUGGAUUUUCUAAGGAUGCUGGCUCCCCGUCCCCUGUCCACCAUGAGUCAAAGCAAUGUGAGUCCCUCACCAGAUGCAACUGCCCAGUCUUGGACUUUCCAGUGACCAGAAUCAUGAGCCAAAUAAACCUCUUUUCUUUAUGAA
RNAcentral lists this long non-coding RNA (1787 nucleotides) under Homo sapiens (human). RNAcentral's name for it is "HSALNT0381861". Lineage: Eukaryota; Metazoa; Chordata; Mammalia; Primates; Hominidae. The record is from RNAcentral.